RNAcentral lists this long non-coding RNA (449 nucleotides) under Setaria italica (foxtail millet). RNAcentral's name for it is "long non-coding RNA (SITA_LNC000702)". The record is from RNAcentral. Lineage: Eukaryota; Viridiplantae; Streptophyta; Magnoliopsida; Poales; Poaceae.
UGUGCACGUUGUUGAAACCUGGUUUGCCUAUUUUGUCUGGCCCUCUCAGUUAAGUUGAUUGUUCUGGAACGAGUUUCAGUAGCCUCUGUUACAGUACUGGUAUUCCGUGGUUCAGAAGAUGCACCAGCUUGGGCUGGGUUAGAGGAAGGUUCACGUGCCUCUGUUGUAGUGCUGGUAUUCUGUGGUCGAGAAAAUGCUCCAGCUUGGACUGGAUUAGGGGAAGGUUCACGUGCGGGAGAUGCGUCAGCAGCUCUGCUUGGUGAAUCAGCAGUUCCUGAUUGUGCUACCGGACUUUGGUCUGGUUCCACUGCAGCAUGUUCAGCCGUAGUAUCACCCUCAACCUCUGACACAUCAACAUCACUCUUCUCUGUCAGCAUUCCUGGAGAUGCUGCCCUGAAAACAUUCCCAGCUUGCUCACCAAUAUCCGAAGUAGGCUCCCUAUUAGUUUC